UUGUGUCAUUAGAACAUUUUUAAUCAAAGAAAGUACACUUCAUUUGCAAGAUUCAUUGAUUACAUUGUCCAACAUACAUUGCAUUGAAAAAUUAUAAAGAAAAUGCAUAAUUUUUGCAUAAGUUGACUUUUGGUCAACUAUUGACUUUUUGAUUAACCAGUUGACCAAAGUCAGCUCAUCAUUUCAAAAUCCCUAAGUCCUAAUUUCCUUGGUCUUCAAGUUAGGAUCACCUUCGCAUUAUCCAUCACCUACAAAAAUUACAAAAUCCAAAAACCACUUGUCAUUUAAGGCAUGUCAUGAUUUAAACCAUGUUCAUAACCUAAACCACAUACAUGUCAAUACCAUAGCAUAUUCUAAACCAAAUGACCAAGACAUGGACCUAACAUCCAUACAAAUGGAACAUUGCAUUUCAAAACCAUUAACAUGUCAAUACCAAAACCAACAGAUCAAUUUAACCUAAACCAUUUCAAACCAACUUAGGCAAAACCAAACAUUACAAGCAUCACAUUAGCAUGAAACACAUUACCAUUUUAAACCUAGCCUAACUACGAUGUUGCAUAAUCCAAGCAACCAUAACCUAAAACAGCCCUACAACAAAUGCAAACAUACCUCACAAUAGUCACACAUACAUGAGCAUCACAAUACUUUCAUGCAUCAACCAUCAAACAUCAAACCUAGCAUCCACAUCGAGCAUGCCAACAUUCACCUCCUGCUGCAGCCAAUCAUGUCUUAACCCUACAAUAACUGUUUCACAGCAGCAUGAGCAACAAGCCAUUGCAUUAAUAUAAUAAUCCUGCAUCAAUGAGCAAAAUCAGCAAGUCAGGGCAGGGCAAUAAUCAAGGAAGAACCAUUCAUCAAAAACAAAUCGAGCAAGCCAUCAUGUAGCAUGAACAAAUAUUCUUGUAACCAUUUCAACAUCAAUAAUCAAGCUAACCAUCAUGCAAUAAUUCACAUCAGCAUGGCCAUGUACAAACUCGAACAAUAACAAAAUCUUUGACAACAUGGCAGACCAACAACAAUCAAGCAUCAACAGACCUAUAACUAUACAUCAUUCAAAAUCUAGCAUCAACUUAACAUAAUAACAUCAAUUGACUUUUUUCAAUUAACAUCACAUUAAAAUUCAGUUUAACAAUUAACUCCAACUGACUUUUUCACUUAACAUCACAUUUAACAAAUGAUUAAACUAACUCAGACUGCAAGUAACUAAUUAGUUUUCACAUUUAACAGAGAAAUUGAAAACUGAGAUUUACAUUAACCGAGUCUAACUCAUUCCAUUUUAGCUGAAACUAACUGAGAUUUUUCACUGUAACUAACUAACUCAUUUUUAACUGCUGAAGCUAACUGAAUCUAACUAACAGUUAACUCCAUGAUCACAUCCAACAAGUUUCUCCAUCAAUCAAUUAACACCGCUGAAUUGCUCUGUUAAUCUACACACUAUAAAUUCACAUCUUCAUCGUUUUCACCUUAUUCAUUCACCAUUCAUUAAAUUCAUGAUUCAUCAAAAUUCUAAAUCAUUCAUUUCAUCAUUUCACUCCAAAAAAAUUCACUCUCUAUAACCUCUCAUUCACACAAAGCUCAUUUGAAAUACUCCAUUAAAGCUUCACAUUGAAGCUUCAAUGGAGUAGAGCUCAACCUCUCAUUCAUUCACGAUUCACCAAUUCAUCAUCACUCUAUAACAAAUUCAUCUCUCUACAUCUUCUGUUUCACACGAACCACAUCUCAAAGCAUAAUCUCAAGAACACGUUUCAGAAGAAGAAGAAGGAUCUUUAGAAGAGGAAGAAUUAGAAGAAAGAUAGGAGCAAGAAUUACCUGGUUUAAGUGAUUCCUCAACGUAAGCUUUAUCUUCUCUGAUUCAACAACUCGUUGAAGUAAUUCUCAGCAUCGGAGGUAUGUUUUCUUCAUUAUUUCAUUGCAUACGAGUUACCUGAAUGUAGAAGAAGGUUAGAGGAAUCAAAGCCCUAACCUCUAGGGCUUUGAUUCUGAGAGAGUAGGAUUUAAUUUGGGUUCUUUGUCAUUUGGCUUUGAUUCAUAUUAUUGAUGAGGAAUUAGGUUGCUUCACUGUAAUUUUGGGAUUCAUAGCAAAAAGGUGAAGAAGGUGAUGUAAAUGUUUUGGACAUUGAGGAAUUAUGAGCUUAGGUGGAGAGAGU
This 2147-nucleotide long non-coding RNA is filed under the name Lathyrus oleraceus (garden pea). RNAcentral describes it as "Pisum sativum (pea) long non-coding RNA (PSAT_LNC036199)". The record is from RNAcentral. Lineage: Eukaryota; Viridiplantae; Streptophyta; Magnoliopsida; Fabales; Fabaceae.